AGAUAUAAGGGUCACUGACUAGAAUAUCUUUCCUCCCAUUGUAGGCUGGGUUGAUUCAACUGGCUUGGAUGGCUAGGUGGGUGGGGUGUCCUUGCCCUUUCUGCUCCAUCAGGUGUUGUUCAUAAGUUGCAAAGAAUGACUUUCCCUGAUAGAGGUUCUUUGGCUAAUGGAAUAUGAAUAGCUACUCCCUCCUGUUAGAAUUUCCACAUAAGCUUUCAAGAGGUUGUUUGAUAAAGACAAAAAUUGAAACAUAAAUCUUGGCGAAGAAAGAAGUAAAAGAUAUUUGUUUACUUU
RNAcentral lists this small nuclear RNA (294 nucleotides) under Mus pahari (shrew mouse). Its description in RNAcentral is "sRNA (MGP_PahariEiJ_G0008066.1)". It matches the Rfam family "7SK RNA". From Rfam's summary of the family: 7SK was discovered as an abundant small nuclear RNA in the mid-70s but a possible function has only recently been suggested. Two independent studies have found that 7SK RNA binds the CDK9/cyclin T complex (known as elongation factor P-TEFb). P-TEFb activates transcription by phosphorylating the C-terminal domain of RNA polymerase II. Lineage: Eukaryota; Metazoa; Chordata; Mammalia; Rodentia; Muridae. The record is from RNAcentral.